Magnolia sinica is the source of this 107-nucleotide small nucleolar RNA. Lineage: Eukaryota; Viridiplantae; Streptophyta; Magnoliopsida; Magnoliales; Magnoliaceae. The record is from RefSeq and is a predicted model, not a curated record.
AAACCAUGUUGUGGGCAUGAACUAAUGAGAUCCUUGAACCGCUUACAACAUAGGAAGAAUGUUUCAUCUUCCUUUUGGUCAAAGUUCAUGAUCGACUUCCUGAUGGU